GGGCGAGCCAGAGUGGCUGGGA
RNAcentral lists this unclassified non-coding RNA (22 nucleotides) under Mus musculus (house mouse). RNAcentral's name for it is "oocyte_clustered_small_RNA7020". Lineage: Eukaryota; Metazoa; Chordata; Mammalia; Rodentia; Muridae. The record is from RNAcentral.